Molecule: ribosomal RNA, 253 nt
Filed under: uncultured bacterium
Lineage: Bacteria
Description: partial 16S ribosomal RNA
Rfam family: Archaeal small subunit ribosomal RNA
Source: RNAcentral
UACCAGCACCCCGAGUGGUCGGGACGUUUAUUGGGCCUAAAGCAUCCGUAGCCGGUUCUACAAGUCUUCCGUUAAAUCCACCUGCUUAACAGAUGGGCUGCGGAAGAUACUAUGGAGCUAGGAGGCGGGAGAGGCAAGCGGUACUCGAUGGGUAGGGGUAAAAAUCCGUUGAUCCAUUGAAGACCACCAGUGGCGAAGGCGGCUUGCCAGAACGCGCUCGACGGUGAGGGAUGAAAGCUGGGGGAGCAAACGG